RNAcentral lists this long non-coding RNA (1085 nucleotides) under Phascolarctos cinereus (koala). RNAcentral describes it as "lncRNA (ENSPCIG00000034744.1)". The record is from RNAcentral. Lineage: Eukaryota; Metazoa; Chordata; Mammalia; Diprotodontia; Phascolarctidae.
CUUAGAACAGAGAAUGUCAGAGCUGGGAGGGGUCAGUGUUACCAGGGUUCUCAGACACUGUGUAGCGUAGCCAUCUCAGUGUUGAGAUGUGGUAAACCUAUACUUAGUAGCUGUCUUCUAACUGGUGAGUGGGAAUAUUACGGGGAAAUGGGUCUUGCUAUUUUCAGACUUUUAAAAAACAGGUGCCUGGGCCACUUCUGAAGUUGAGGGUGAAAGAUAAAGGAGCGAGCAUGGCCCCCAGGAGAGGCAGAGCCAGCUCAAAGACAGCACUUCACAAGGGCCCGAGUGCCUAAAGGUGUCAGGUCUGGGGACCAUGGCUUGCCUGGCCAGGGGAGAAUGGUCUCUGCUCUCAAAGUCUCUUCAGAAGAAGCAUUAUGGAUUUUUGCCCUCUCGAAUGGAAGCUGCUGGUUGCUUUGGAGUUGCAAAGAUUCUUUUUCCAGCAAUGUCCUGGCCUCCUACAGAAAACCUCCUUUGUCAGAAGAGAGACCCAGACACCUUCUGCCCAGGAUUCUUGCCCAACAGAACCCUCUGGAGCUCCUCCAGCAGAAAUGAAACCCAGAGACUUUUAAUGAAUGUCUGUAAACAUUCCACUUUUCCCCAGGAUUCUUUGGGUGCUCUUCAAUGCCAUCCAUAAAAUGAUCCCACUUCCCUCCCCCUCAUCAAGGGAUACCUCCCAUGAACCCGAGCCUUCCUCCAGCUGGAAGCAUUUCCCCAGGAAGCACCAAACAAAAGGAAUGGGGCGAUUUCAUAACUGGCAAAGAAGACUAAAGAUACAGUUUAAAUUUUUUUUUGUAUUGCAUCUAAUUGCAAUCAACAGCAGACAUCUGACACAGUGACAUCAGCAGAAUUUCAGCUGAGAGCACAGAAUCUUUGUCUAAAAAUAAUCAGCCCCUCCGUGCACCGCUGUUUGUUAUAACGGUAAUCGAUGCGGCCGGCUUUGAAUUCCAUCAAUUUAUAGAUCUGCUCUCCUCUCUGCCUGGUGAUUGUGUUCUGCACACACAGGAGCUCUCUCUUUCUCCUCUCUCUCUCUCUCUCUCUCUCUCUCUCUCUCUCUCUCUGUCUCUCUUUUCCCUCUCUCCUAGCUG